GAUGAAGAACGUAGUGAAAUGCGAUAAGUAAUGUGAAUUGCAGAAUUCAGUGAAUCAUCGAGUCUUUGAACGCACAUUGCGCCCCCUGGUAUUCCGGGGGGCAUGCCUGUCCGAGCGUCAUUGCUGCCCUCAAGCACGGCUUGUGUGUUGGGCCUCCGUCCUCCUCCCGGGGGACGGGCCCGAAAGGCAGCGGCGGCACCGCGUCCGGUCCUCGAGCGUAUGGGGCUUCGUCACCCGCUCUUGUAGGCCCGGCCGGCGCUUGCCGACACAUCAAUCUUUUUUCCAGGUUGACCUCGGAUCAGGUAGGGAUACCCGCUGAACUUAAGCAUAUCAAUAAGCGGAGG
RNAcentral lists this unclassified non-coding RNA (344 nucleotides) under soil metagenome. RNAcentral's name for it is "partial contains 5.8S ribosomal RNA, internal transcribed spacer 2, and large subunit ribosomal RNA". The stretch from base 1 to 120 matches the Rfam family "5.8S ribosomal RNA", at positions 35 to 154 of the family's 154-position model. The record is from RNAcentral.